GCACGCUCUGUUUACACAUCCACUCACACCUGUGCACCCUCUGUAGUUCUAUGGUUUGGGGGACCCUGUCUUCCUUCUGUGGUUCUACGUCUUUACACACACACUGUAAUAAAGUUUUAUGGAAUGUACAUCGCGUCUGACGCAAUACAAUACAACUUUCAGCAACGGAUCUCUUGGCUCUCGCAUCGAUGAAGAACGCAGCGAAAUGCGAUAAGUAAUGUGAAUUGCAGAAUUCAGUGAAUCAUCGAAUCUUUGAACGCACCUUGCGCCCCUUGGCUAUUCCGAGGGGCAUGCCUGUUUGAGUAUCAUGAACACCUCAACUCUCAUGGUUCGCCAUGAUGAGCUUGGACUCUGGGGGUUUUGCUGGCCUGUGGUCAGCUCCUCUCAAAUGAAUCAGCCUCCCAGUGUUUGGUGGCAUCACGGGUGUGAUAAAUAUCUACGCUCGCUGUUGUCUGCCAGGUAACCUUUGGUCACAAAGGUUUGCUGGAGCUCACAGAUGUCUCU
RNAcentral lists this ribosomal RNA (504 nucleotides) under uncultured Thelephora. RNAcentral describes it as "eukaryotic LSU rRNA". The stretch from base 154 to 308 matches the Rfam family "5.8S ribosomal RNA". The record is from RNAcentral. Lineage: Eukaryota; Fungi; Basidiomycota; Agaricomycetes; Thelephorales; Thelephoraceae.